GUCUGAAUGCGCUAGAUCGUACAAAACACUUACUCGCCCCCCAAGAGAUUCCUACUAAUAGAUCUAAGUAAAGAUACAACAUCUACUAGAUCUAAGUAAAGAUACAACAUACCCUUCUUUUGAACCGGAACAGAAACAUUAUUUCCUCGCACCUACCGAAGAAUGGGAUUGACUACUUGAUGAACACUAGUGGUGACUUGGCCCCGGCAAAAAGGCUGUUUUUGUUGAACUCUGGCUCAUAUACUUCUUAUACUU
Molecule: long non-coding RNA, 255 nt
Filed under: Musa acuminata (dwarf banana)
Lineage: Eukaryota; Viridiplantae; Streptophyta; Magnoliopsida; Zingiberales; Musaceae
Description: long non-coding RNA (MACU_LNC008203)
Source: RNAcentral